This is a long non-coding RNA of Musa acuminata AAA Group (dessert banana), 683 nucleotides long. RefSeq lists it as uncharacterized. The record is from RefSeq and is a predicted model, not a curated record. The transcript is spliced from 2 exons. NCBI's taxonomy places the organism in Eukaryota, Viridiplantae, Streptophyta, Magnoliopsida, Zingiberales, Musaceae.
UGAAUCUCUACUCAACGUUUGGACCGGCAGUUGAUCGAGCUAUAAUCUAUUUUGCAGCACUUUUGAUCUAAAGAAGAAGAAGAAGAAGAAGAAGAAGAAGAAGAAGAAGAAGAAUGCAUUCGAGAUCAUUAGAUUCACUGCUAUCUCUGACGGUGGAGAAACUGUCUUCUCCGACGAGGUCUAACUUGGCCUCACCUUCAUCUUCUCCUCCAACACCACCAUCUCCGCUUCCGGUCAGCGUAGGACCGGGCGACCGUAAGUAUCCAUUCUGGCCAUCGCCGUCACCGUCACCGUCACCACCGGUCUCUCCGCCAGGCCAGUCCCCGCCAGAGACCGCAUUGCCGCUCUUGCGCCGGCGACGGUCGCAGCCACUUGAAGAGCUUUCUACUUUCUCUUUAGAUGGCUCGUCUUCCACUCCAAGAAACUGGUGGCAAUACUUUGUCAGCUGGUUGGAGUGGCUUUUGCUGAGAUGUUGCUGCUGCUGCUGCUGCUGCUGCUCCUCCUCCUUGCUGCGAACAGUUCCAUCUCCAUCACCUUUGAAGCAAUGCUAAACAUUCUUGAGAAAUCUUUGUAGGUUUUAAUAAUGUUCUUUUUCUUCUUUGAAGUUGUUGUAGCACAACAGUAUCUGCAUGCCUUCUUUGUGUUGCUCUUCUCAUGAUUUUUCUAUGCCUCUUCUACUUUUA